Molecule: long non-coding RNA, 1432 nt
Organism: Xenopus laevis (African clawed frog)
Lineage: Eukaryota; Metazoa; Chordata; Amphibia; Anura; Pipidae
Exons: 2
Source: RefSeq, a predicted model, not a curated record
CACACACUGUAUAAAGACACACACAAAUACACACACACUGGAUACAGACACACAAAUACAUACAUGAUGUCUGUUGCUAAUAUUCACAAGAGGUCGGUGUCACUGGCAUAAGGUUAUUAUGUAAAUCCUAACGAUUCAGGGAUGUCAGGGUUAAUCCCAGAUGGUGAUUGGCUGCACGGCACACUCGGGGUUACUGGAUCAGCCUGACUGUCUAUACAAGAUAAAGUACAAUUUGUUAUGAAUUGGACAGAACUGGACUCCCUCAAAUAAUCCCUGGAAUGUCAGUGUCCCUGGAACCAGGCAGUGGUAUUACAGGAGAGGUAAUACAUAGAGAAAUCAAACUCGCGGGUACUUUCUGAUUGGCACAAGGGCUUCACAUUUUACACCUUAUAGGGUGCAGGGGGUACCUGUCUGUCAGCAGACACAUUACAAAGAGGGCCCAGCUCAGCUGCCUGGUACAGGGACUAUUUCCAGGCUCAGCAGGGCACUACAGUGGGGAGGGAAACUCAGUAGUACAGAGGCAUCUGCACCACAACCAGUAGCCUAAUGGUCUUUAUCAUUGAAUGUCAGUGGCUGAACUCAAUCCGCCAUACAGAGAUGCUCAGCCAAUCAGACUCAGGAAGCAACCAAUACGAGGAGAGCUUGCUGGAUCUCUAACAGACCUGGCAGCUGUUUGGGGCUUAUGAAGUGCAACUGAAUUUCUAACUGAAUAAAGCAGGUCCCCAAGUGCAUGGAGAUUGGGCAGGAGGGAGUCUCUACAUUCUAUCGAAAGCAGUAGGACCCCUGCAGGACAGGAACGACAAUGGUGACUCCAUCUUGGCCAAAGAGCGAAAAGAAAGGUCCAAGCCCUGAAACAAAAUUCCUUCCAGGGGCCAAUGUUGAAUCCAGGGUACCCCAACACCAUCAGCCUAAUGCCCCCAAUCUACAGAGACUGGGGCAAAAAGUGGGGUCUGGCCUGAAGCGCUUGUUCCAGUGCCCCCAGGUGGACGACGUGUGUAUUAUCCAAACACAAGAUACUAUGAUUGAGCUGAGGCAGACCAGCGGGGUCUCAUGCAGAGAGAAACUACUCCUCACUCUGGGGGUCUUUAUUGUGCUGCUUGUAGUCGUGCUCUUGCUCCUGUGGAACUAUAAGUGUACCAUCAUCGACCGGCUGUGCCAGGGCAACCCCGAGCUGCUCACCCCACUCUUUAAGGACGACUGAUUGAUCUGCCCCCCAAUAUCUCUAAUUAACGCCUUCUAUUCUGAGUUUUCAUGAUUUCCCCCUUACAUGCAAGUCCUCAGGUGUGGCCCUUCCUCUACACUAAUAAGGGCCCCCAUUUCUAUGAUCAUCCAACACCCAGAGAGGGACAAUCCUGCGCUCGGUCUCAUCCUACGCUGCUGCCUAAGCCAAUCUCUCAAUGUAAAUAAGAACCAAUAAAAAUAAUCACAAAUG